This 414-nucleotide ribosomal RNA is filed under the name uncultured bacterium. RNAcentral describes it as "bacterial SSU rRNA". It matches the Rfam family "Bacterial small subunit ribosomal RNA", at positions 30 to 429 of the family's 1533-position model. The record is from RNAcentral.
AUUGAACGCUGGCGGCGUGCCUAACACAUGCAAGUCGAGCGGUAACAGGUGUAGCAAUACAUGCUGACGAGCGGCGAACGGGUGAGUAAUGCUUUGGAAUCUUCCCAGUAGUGGGGAAUAACCAGUCGAAAGAUUGGCUAAUACCGCAUACGUCUGUAAAGGGAAAGCGGGGGACUCGCCUCUUCUUCGGAAGAGAGGCCUCGCGCUAUUGGAUGAGCCAAAGCGGAUUAGCUAGUUGGUGGGGUAAUGGCCUACCAAGGCGACAAUCCGUAGCUGGUCUGAGAGGACGACCAGCCACACCGGAACUGAGACACGGUCCGGACUCCUACGGGAGGCAGCAGUGGGAAUAUUGACAUGGGGAAACCCUGAUCCAGCGACGCCGCGUGUGUGGAAGAAGGCCUGGCGGGUUGUAAA